This 74-nucleotide transfer RNA is filed under the name Pediococcus pentosaceus. RNAcentral's name for it is "tRNA-Asn". It matches the Rfam family "tRNA". From Rfam's summary of the family: Transfer RNA (tRNA) molecules are approximately 80 nucleotides in length. Lineage: Bacteria; Bacillati; Bacillota; Bacilli; Lactobacillales; Lactobacillaceae. The record is from RNAcentral.
GUAGAUGUAGCUCAGUUGGUUAGAGCAUCUGACUGUUAAUCAGAAUGUCGCAGGUUCGAGUCCUACCAUCUACG